This 342-nucleotide ribosomal RNA is filed under the name Listeria monocytogenes. RNAcentral's name for it is "bacterial LSU rRNA". It matches the Rfam family "Bacterial large subunit ribosomal RNA", at positions 1119 to 1461 of the family's 2925-position model. The record is from RNAcentral. Lineage: Bacteria; Bacillati; Bacillota; Bacilli; Caryophanales; Listeriaceae.
CCAUUGAAAGAGUGCGUAAUAGCUCACUGGUCGAGUGACCCCGCGCCGAAAAUGUACCGGGGCUAAUCAUAUUACCGAAACUGUGGCUGAACCUCUUUAGAGGUUCGUGGUAGGAGAGCGUUCUAAGGGCGGUGAAGUCAGACCGGGAGGACUGGUGGAGCGCUUAGAAGUGAGAAUGCCGGUAUGAGUAGCGAAAGACGGGUGAGACUCCCUUCCACCGAAUAUCUACGGUUUCCUGAGGAAGGCCCGUCCGCUCAGGGCUAGUCGGGACCUAAGCCGAGGGCGAUAGGCGUAGGCGAUGGACAACAGGGAGAGAUUCCUGUACCAGUGCUAAUUGUUUAA